This 484-nucleotide ribosomal RNA is filed under the name uncultured bacterium. RNAcentral describes it as "partial 16S ribosomal RNA". It matches the Rfam family "Bacterial small subunit ribosomal RNA", at positions 30 to 507 of the family's 1533-position model. The record is from RNAcentral.
AUUGAACGCUAGCGGGAUGCUUUACACAUGCAAGUCGAACGGCAGCGCGGACUUCGGUCUGGCGGCGAGUGGCGAACGGGUGAGUAAUGUAUCGGAACGUGCCCAGUAGCGGGGGAUAACUACGCGAAAGCGUAGCUAAUACCGCAUACGCCCUACGGGGGAAAGCAGGGGAUCGUAAGACCUUGCACUAUUGGAGCGGCCGAUAUCGGAUUAGCUAGUUGGUGAGGUAACGGCUCACCAAGGCGACGAUCCGUAGCUGGUUUGAGAGGACGACCAGCCACACUGGAACUGAGACACGGCCCAGACUCCUACGGGAGGCAGCAGUGGGGAAUUUUGGACAAUGGGGGCAACCCUGAUCCAGCCAUCCCGCGUGGGCGAUGAAGGCCUUCGGGUUGUAAAGCACUUUUGGCAGGAAAGAAACGUCGCGGGCUAAUACCCCGUGGAACUGACGGUACCUGCAGAAUAAGCACCGGCUAACUACGUG